Molecule: ribosomal RNA, 1542 nt
Filed under: Salmonella enterica subsp. enterica serovar Paratyphi B str. CFSAN000540
Lineage: Bacteria; Pseudomonadati; Pseudomonadota; Gammaproteobacteria; Enterobacterales; Enterobacteriaceae
Description: bacterial SSU rRNA
Rfam family: Bacterial small subunit ribosomal RNA
Source: RNAcentral
AAAUUGAAGAGUUUGAUCAUGGCUCAGAUUGAACGCUGGCGGCAGGCCUAACACAUGCAAGUCGAACGGUAACAGGAAGCAGCUUGCUGCUUUGCUGACGAGUGGCGGACGGGUGAGUAAUGUCUGGGAAACUGCCUGAUGGAGGGGGAUAACUACUGGAAACGGUGGCUAAUACCGCAUAACGUCGCAAGACCAAAGAGGGGGACCUUCGGGCCUCUUGCCAUCAGAUGUGCCCAGAUGGGAUUAGCUUGUUGGUGAGGUAACGGCUCACCAAGGCGACGAUCCCUAGCUGGUCUGAGAGGAUGACCAGCCACACUGGAACUGAGACACGGUCCAGACUCCUACGGGAGGCAGCAGUGGGGAAUAUUGCACAAUGGGCGCAAGCCUGAUGCAGCCAUGCCGCGUGUAUGAAGAAGGCCUUCGGGUUGUAAAGUACUUUCAGCGGGGAGGAAGGUGUUGUGGUUAAUAACCGCAGCAAUUGACGUUACCCGCAGAAGAAGCACCGGCUAACUCCGUGCCAGCAGCCGCGGUAAUACGGAGGGUGCAAGCGUUAAUCGGAAUUACUGGGCGUAAAGCGCACGCAGGCGGUCUGUCAAGUCGGAUGUGAAAUCCCCGGGCUCAACCUGGGAACUGCAUUCGAAACUGGCAGGCUUGAGUCUUGUAGAGGGGGGUAGAAUUCCAGGUGUAGCGGUGAAAUGCGUAGAGAUCUGGAGGAAUACCGGUGGCGAAGGCGGCCCCCUGGACAAAGACUGACGCUCAGGUGCGAAAGCGUGGGGAGCAAACAGGAUUAGAUACCCUGGUAGUCCACGCCGUAAACGAUGUCUACUUGGAGGUUGUGCCCUUGAGGCAUGGCUUCCGGAGCUAACGCGUUAAGUAGACCGCCUGGGGAGUACGGCCGCAAGGUUAAAACUCAAAUGAAUUGACGGGGGCCCGCACAAGCGGUGGAGCAUGUGGUUUAAUUCGAUGCAACGCGAAGAACCUUACCUGGUCUUGACAUCCACAGAACUUUCCAGAGAUGGAUUGGUGCCUUCGGGAACUGUGAGACAGGUGCUGCAUGGCUGUCGUCAGCUCGUGUUGUGAAAUGUUGGGUUAAGUCCCGCAACGAGCGCAACCCUUAUCCUUUGUUGCCAGCGGUCCGGCCGGGAACUCAAAGGAGACUGCCAGUGAUAAACUGGAGGAAGGUGGGGAUGACGUCAAGUCAUCAUGGCCCUUACGACCAGGGCUACACACGUGCUACAAUGGCGCAUACAAAGAGAAGCGACCUCGCGAGAGCAAGCGGACCUCAUAAAGUGCGUCGUAGUCCGGAUUGGAGUCUGCAACUCGACUCCAUGAAGUCGGAAUCGCUAGUAAUCGUGGAUCAGAAUGCCACGGUGAAUACGUUCCCGGGCCUUGUACACACCGCCCGUCACACCAUGGGAGUGGGUUGCAAAAGAAGUAGGUAGCUUAACCUUCGGGAGGGCGCUUACCACUUUGUGAUUCAUGACUGGGGUGAAGUCGUAACAAGGUAACCGUAGGGGAACCUGCGGUUGGAUCACCUCCUUA